GGCGGCAGCGCUGGAGGCCCCGGGCCUGUGACCGCAAAGAGGGAGACGGGGGCCGGAUGGGAGCGCGGCGGCGGCAGCUGAGGCCCAGGCCAGGCCCCCUCCCCUCAGCCUCCCGCCUGCCCGUCUGCCCCGCCCCCGCCGGCGGCGCCGCGCCCCUCAGCCAACAGCCAAAUUAGCACGGUGCGGGGGCCGCGCGCGAAGACAUGGGGGAGAAGCUGGAGCUGAGGCUGGAGUCGCUCGUGGGGGCCGAGCCCGCCGUCUACCCGUGGCCGCUGCCGGUCUACCAUGCAAAUGGGUGAUUCCCUGACACUUGCUGCCACGUGUAUGCACCCUGAGGACACGAUGCUCAGCGAGAGCCGUCAGAAACAAAAGGACACACAGGGUCUGACUCCACUGAGGAGAAACGUACAGAGCAGGCCAUGCAAAGUGGUGAAGCCCUGACACUCGCUGCCACUUGGAUGCACCCUGAGACUUCUAUGCUAUGGGAGAGAAGUCAGACACAGAAGGACACACAGGGUGUGACGCCACUGAGGAGAAACGUCCAGAACAGCAUGAAAAGGGUGAACCCCUGACACUCGCUGCCACCUGGAUGCACCCUGAGGACACGAUGGUUGGCGAGACCAGUCAGACACAGGAGGACACACAGGGUCUGACCACACUGAGGAGAAACUGUCCCCCGCGCUCCCGUGUGGCCUGUGAGAGCAUCGCUCUCAGGACGAAGGGCUGACCACAGGAAGACUGAACGAGCAGUGGGUCCCCGGAAAAGACGCCCAUUUGGCGGCCCCCCACUUGGGGUAGUGACUGGGAGUUGGUGAGCCUCCAAGGAGACUGGCAACAACCCCAGGGCCUCACAGGGCCCGGCGCCCCUGGUCACAGUGCCUUCCCUCUGGUUCCCAUCACCAGUUGUCAACAGACUUGCACGCAAUGUUUCUCUCUUUUCUUUUCUUUUCUCAGUCCUUCUGCAUACAAAGAGGUGAACCCCUGACACUUGAUGCCACGUGGAUGCACCCUGAGUACACGAUGUUCGGCGAGACAAGUCAGACACAGAAGGGCAUAUAGGGUCUCACCCCACUGAGGAGAAACGUCAAGAACAGCACGCUAAGGGGUGAUGCCCGGACACUUGCUGCCACGUGUAUGCACCCUGAGGACACGAUGCUCAGCGAGAGCCGUCAGAAAAAAAAGGACACACAGGGUUUGACUCCACUGAGGAGAAACGUACAGAGCAGUCCUUCUGCAUGCAAAGAUGUAAACCCCUGACACUCAACGCCACGUGGAUGCACCCUGACACGAUGGUCGGUGAGACGAGUCAGACACAGACGGACACACAGGGUCUGACCCCACUGAAGAGAAACGUCCAGAACAGGUGUGAAACCCUGACACGCACUGCCACAUGGAUGAAUCCUGAGAACAUGAUGCUCAGCGAGAGAAGUCAGACACAGAAGGACACACAGGGUGUGACCCCACUGAGGAGAAACGUCCAGAACAGCACACAAAGGGUGAACCCCUGACACUCGCUGCCACCUGGAUGCACCCUGAGGACACGAUGCUCGGCGAGAGAAGUCAGACACAGAAGGACAUACAGGGUCUGACACCACUGAGGUGAAACGUCAAGAACAGGCCACACAAACGGGUGAAUCCCUGACAGUCGCUGCCACAUGGAUGCACCCUGAGACCAGAACACUAUGCAAGAGAAGUCAGAAAAGAAGGACACACAGGAUGUGACCCCACUGAGGAGAAAUAUCCAGAACAGUCCCUCAGCACACAAAGGGGUGAAGCCCUGACACUCACUGUCACGUGGAUGUACUCUGAGGACACAAUGCUCAGCGAGAGAAGUCAGACACAGAGGGACACUCAGGGUGUGACACCACUGAGGAGAAACGUCCAGAACAGGACUCUUCCACACGUGAGAAAAUGGGAGCUGUCUAUAUGUUAAAUCUGUAUAGACUUUGCAAAUGACCUUUUGUCUUUCAUCGAAAGCACUGGACCUGCAGCAGUGUGGCCUCACCAGUGAAGGAGCAAAGACUUUACUAAAGGCCCUUGAAACCAACAGAACUCUGCUCGUUCUGGAUAUAAGAAAAAAUCCACUUAUUGGAAAGAAGAAUAGUAGCUGUGCUGAGCUCUGCCAGGUCAGAUAGAAUUUUGGAGUAUUCUCUUUCUCUCUCUUGUAGACAGCCACUGUCAUUUGGUAAGCCAUAAGCCUUCCUUUGCUUUGACUGUGGUUAGUGUGUUUGCUGGAUUUCUAAAAUAUAUUUUUAGUGUUUACUUGUUUAGAUUGAAAAGAUUGGGCUAUAUUUUUAAAAGUUUAUCCCUCCAUUUUGGAAGGCCUUUUAAGUUGUGAUAUUGCAUGCAAGAGAGCUAACGGAAUUCUGGACUCCAUAUUUUCGUUUUUACCUUUUUUCUUUUUCCUCAGAUUUGAACCAACAAUGGCUAAGAAUGAGAGGAACUCAGACCCGAAUAUUUUUUCCCUUGUCAAGCACAGAGAAUAUGGGAAAAAAUGAAACUGGGAAAUUGUUUUGCUCGUCUUCUUUUCCUCCUUUUUGGUCAGUUACCUUAGUCGGCCACCUCACUUUGUAUUUCUAGCCUGGCUUCAGAAAGACCUGAACUUGAUGAACGACACACUGUUGGAGUAGUAGAUUGCUACAAGGAACCAAGAUCCAGACGACCUUAAAUGGAGGCUACAUGGAAUUAUAUUCAAGAAGGAUGGUCCAGCCAAUAUCCUCACUUCCAUUGUGAAAGGAGUUCCCUAUUCCUAAGAUAAUGGACCUAUGUCCCACUGGCACAGAAGAUGGAGAUUUAUCCCAGUGCCUUUAUAUAUGUAUAGAUAUUAAAAUUAUAUAUAUAUAUAUGUUUAUAUAUAGAUAAUGCCUAAUGGAACUA
Molecule: long non-coding RNA, 2877 nt
Organism: Globicephala melas (long-finned pilot whale)
Lineage: Eukaryota; Metazoa; Chordata; Mammalia; Artiodactyla; Delphinidae
Source: RefSeq, a predicted model, not a curated record